UACAGAGGGGGCAAGCGUUGUUCGGAAUUACUGGGCGUAAAGCGUGCGUAGUCGGCCAUUUAAGUCGGGUGUGAAAUCCCCGGGCUCAACCUGGGAAUUGCAUUCGAUACUGGAUGGCUAGAGUUCGGCAGAGGGAAGCGGAAUUUCCGGUGUAGCGGUGAAAUGCGUAGAUAUCGGAAGGAACAUCAGUGGCGAAAGCGGCUUCCUGGACCAGAACUGACGAUCAGGCACGAAAGCGUGGGGAGCAAACAGG
RNAcentral lists this ribosomal RNA (253 nucleotides) under uncultured bacterium. Its description in RNAcentral is "partial 16S ribosomal RNA". It matches the Rfam family "Bacterial small subunit ribosomal RNA", at positions 524 to 776 of the family's 1533-position model. The record is from RNAcentral.